GUGUGUGAGGCCGGGGUGGGUCCCGGAGGGACGGUCUUCGCCGGCCGUGGCGUGGCCUGGCCUCCCUGCCGUGCGGGCGGGGGGCCUCCUCCUCGUCCUCCUCGUCCUCCUCGUCCUCCUCGUCCGCCGCCGGUUGCCGGCUGACUUUCCUCCGCUUCUCUCCGGAGCCGGGACACCGAGGGGCUGCCGCCCGCCCGCCCACCGGAGCCAAGAAUUGUCCAUCGUAGUAAUACAGUUCUAGAAGAAAGACUAAUUUCCCAGAUUUGUGUCAAGGUACAACGCAGCCACAACCAUCAGCAGCAUGCGGCAGUGAGCUGGAGUGAAGUUGUACAGCAUAGAGUGAUGAAGCUGGAUUUCCUUUGAUCUUUGAAGACGUCCUUUUUAAAGGGGAAAGGGAAAUGUUUUAUGAGGUCAUUUCUGGACUAAUCAUGUGGCACAGAUAUUAACGCGCUGGCACACUGGAUUUCCUGAAGUUUGUUUUGCUGAACCCUAACCUGUUCUAAAGAGUCCUGAGUGACAGGUACUGUAAACAUCCUACACUCUCAGCUGUAGAUGUGAGAAAGCUGGGAGAAGGCUGUUUACUCUCUCUGCCUUGGAAAUCAGCCAAAGAGAACAGAAUUGAGGAUCGUGUGGUGUUCCUGGGUGUCCAUUCCGAUGUUGUGCUUUAUUAACAUUUGAGGGUGAAAUAUUCAAAAGGAAAUCUAUUUAUCUUGGCCAGACCAAGUAAUGUUAAUGG
This is a long non-coding RNA of Tachyglossus aculeatus (Australian echidna), 736 nucleotides long. RefSeq lists it as uncharacterized. The record is from RefSeq and is a predicted model, not a curated record. The transcript is spliced from 3 exons. Lineage: Eukaryota; Metazoa; Chordata; Mammalia; Monotremata; Tachyglossidae.